CCUGUUGAAUCAGAAUCAGACUCUCUGAGGUCAGUGCCAAGGAUGGUAUAUUUUAACAGGUGCACCUAGGAGAUUCCCACAUCCCUGAAAAUUUAAGAGCCACUGGACUGAAUAAGCUCCUCACCCAGAGGAUCUGUUUGUUUGCUCAUCACUAUAUACCCAGAGCCUCGCAUAACGCCCAACCUGUAGUCCAUGCUCGACAAAUAUCAGAUGAAUCCAUUACAUGGUUUCACCUCUAGAAGUAUUUGUUCCAUUUGUUUGAAGACUCACUAUGUGUUAGGCUCAUGCAAAGCAAUGCUGAUUCAGGCAAUUUCAUUCAUUCUGAAAAUCGUUACUGGGUGCUUAGUGCAUACCAGGAACUGUUCUAGACACCGGAGAUACAAAAAAUGUGAUGAACGAGGUUGCUCAGAGACAUAAUACUUUAUAGAUCAUAAUGUGUGCUAUGGAGCUAAUAAAGCAAGGUAAGGGGCCAAGUGUGUGCCAUGUCCUCAUUCAACCUAGUGUCUAGAGCAGCACUAGUCCUGCCCAGCAGAACUUUCUAUGAUAGUGGAAAUGAUCUAUUCUGCAACAUCCCAUGAUAGCCACUAGCCACAUGGGGCUACUGGGCACUUGAAAUGUGGCUGGUGCCACCGAGGGACUGAAUGUUUUAUUUAAUUAUAAUUAAUUUUAACUUUAAUAGCCAUAUGUGCCCAUAUUAGACAGUGCAGGUCGAGAGGCAAAGAGGCAGAUAUGUGAGCUGGAAAUUACAACAAAAGGCAACAUGAGCUAUGAGGAGGGGAAGACAGAGCACCAUGUGCUAUAUCAAAUGCCUCUCACCCAAUUACCAGAUGCCCUAAUGUUCUCUGGCUCUGGGAAUUGAAAGAACAAGGUCAGGUACGAGGCAUUGUGCUUGGGCUGGAAUUUUUAUAGCCCAUGAUCAGUUGAAAAUGGUAUGCAGCCCGGCCAAGCCCCAGAGACUGCAGCUCAGGAUCACACCACCAUCUGCAAAGCCAGGCCACAGCUGCCAAAGAGAUCUCUUUCCUCCCCGUCAUUCUGCUGAUGGUCAUUUUGUCCUUGGCUACAACGUCCCACUGGGCCCGAGACACUGCAAGGAUUUUAUGAGAUUUCUUUGCUUCAAGCUAGGGGAAGGCAAACAGAAGAGAAUUCAGCAACUGCCACUUUGAAACAAUUUUGGGGCAAGACAUGAAGAUUCACAAAAUGCAGUUUCUAGAAGCGGCUGGAAUGUAAGCUGCAAGGAAGGGAGCAGAAACGUCAUCUGUCUCACCAUGGCUGUCUCCCUACCAUCCAGAGUGGUAUCUCACACAGAAAAUGCAAUCAAUAAAUAUCUGUUAAAUGGC
This 1337-nucleotide long non-coding RNA is filed under the name Homo sapiens (human). RNAcentral's name for it is "HSALNT0370302". Lineage: Eukaryota; Metazoa; Chordata; Mammalia; Primates; Hominidae. The record is from RNAcentral.